RNAcentral lists this ribosomal RNA (885 nucleotides) under Agaricus sp. Its description in RNAcentral is "eukaryotic LSU rRNA". It matches the Rfam family "Eukaryotic large subunit ribosomal RNA", at positions 74 to 946 of the family's 3401-position model. Lineage: Eukaryota; Fungi; Basidiomycota; Agaricomycetes; Agaricales; Agaricaceae. The record is from RNAcentral.
AUUCCCCUAGUAACUGCGAGUGAAGCGGGAAAAGCUCAAAUUUAAAAUCUGGCAGUCUCUGGCUGUCCGAGUUGUAAUCUAGAGAAGUAAUGCCCGUGCUGGACCGUGUAUAAGUCUCCUGGGAUGGGGCGUCAUAGAGGGUGAGAAUCCCGUCUUUGACACGGACUACCAGUGCAUUGUGGUAUGCUCUCAAAGAGUCGAGUUGUUUGGGAAUGCAGCUCAAAAUGGGUGGUAAAUUCCAUCUAAAGCUAAAUAUUGGCGAGAGACCGAUAGCGAACAAGUACCGUGAGGGAAAGAUGAAAAGAACUUUGGAAAGAGAGUUAAACAGUACGUGAAAUUGCUGAAAGGGAAACGCUUGAAGUCAGUCGCGUUGGCCGGGAAUCAGCCUUGCUUUUGCAUGGUGUACUUUCUGGUUGACGGGUCAGCAUCAAUUUUGACCGCUGGAAAAAGGCCUGGGGAAUGUGGCAGCUCCGGCUGUGUUAUAGCCCCUAGUCGCAUACAGUGGUUGGGAUUGAGGAACUCAGCACGCCGCAAGGCCGGGUUUCGACCACGUUCGUGCUUAGGAUGCUGGCAUAAUGGCUUUAAGCGACCCGUCUUGAAACACGGACCAAGGAGUCUAACAUGCCUGCGAGUAUUUGGGUGGAAAACCCAAGUGCGCAAUGAAAGUGAAAGUUGAGAUCCCUGUCGUGGGGAGCAUCGACGCCCGGACCAGAACUUUUGGGACGGAUCCGCGGUGGAGCAUGUAUGUUGGGACCCGAAAGAUGGUGAACUAUGCCUGAAUAGGGUGAAGCCAGAGGAAACUCUGGUGGAGGCUCGUAGCGAUUCUGACGUGCAAAUCGAUCGUCAAAUUUGGGUAUAGGGGCGAAAGACUAAUCGAACCAUCUA